This 435-nucleotide ribosomal RNA is filed under the name uncultured bacterium. RNAcentral describes it as "partial 16S ribosomal RNA". It matches the Rfam family "Bacterial small subunit ribosomal RNA", at positions 29 to 507 of the family's 1533-position model. The record is from RNAcentral.
AACGAACGCUGGCGGCAUGUCUAACACAUGCAAGUCGAACGAUUGCCUUCGGGUGAUAGUGGCGCACGGGUGCGUAACGCGUGGGAAUCUGCCCUUAGGUUCGGAAUAACAGCUGGAAACGGCUGCUAAUACCGGAUGAUAUCGCGAGAUCAAAGAUUUAUCGCCUGAGGAUGAGCCCGCGUUGGAUUAGGUAGUUGGUGGGGUAAAGGCCUACCAAGCCGACGAUCCAUAGCUGGUCUGAGAGGAUGAUCAGCCACACUGGGACUGAGACACGGCCCAGACUCCUACGGGAGGCAGCAGUGGGGAAUAUUGGACAAUGGGCGCAAGCCUGAUCCAGCAAUGCCGCGUGAGUGAUGAAGGCCCUAGGGUUGUAAAGCUCCUUUACCCGGGAAGAUAAUGACUGUACCGGGAGAAUAAGCCCCGGCUAACUCCGUG